UCCAGACUCCUACGGGAGGCAGCAGUGAGGAAUAUUGGUCAAUGGCCGUAAGGCUGAACCAGCCAAGUAGCGUGAGGGAAGACUGCCCUAUGGAUUGUAAACCUCUUUUAUGCGGGGAUAAAGGUGUCCACGUGUGGAUGUUUGCAGGUACCGCAUGAAUAAGGACCGGCUAAUUCCGUGCCAGCAGCCGCGGUAAUACGGAGGAUGCGAGCGUUAUCCGGAUUUAUUGGGUUUAAAGGGUGCGCAGGCGGGAGAUCAAGUCAGCGGUAAAAUGUCGGGGCUCAACCCCGGCCGGCCGUUGAAACUGGUUUUCUAGAGUUGGAGAGAAGUAUGCGGAAUUCGUGGUGUAGCGGUGAAAUGCAUAGAUAUCACGAAGAACUCCGAUUGCGAAGGCAGCAUACCGGCUCCAUACUGACGCUGAGGCACGAAAGCGUGGGUAUCGAACAGGAUUAGAUACCCGCGUA
RNAcentral lists this ribosomal RNA (464 nucleotides) under uncultured bacterium. RNAcentral's name for it is "bacterial SSU rRNA". It matches the Rfam family "Bacterial small subunit ribosomal RNA", at positions 330 to 792 of the family's 1533-position model. The record is from RNAcentral.